This 399-nucleotide ribosomal RNA is filed under the name uncultured bacterium. RNAcentral's name for it is "bacterial SSU rRNA". It matches the Rfam family "Bacterial small subunit ribosomal RNA", at positions 358 to 774 of the family's 1533-position model. The record is from RNAcentral.
GGGAUAUUGCACAAUGGGGGAAACCCUGAUGCAGCGACGCCGCGUGGGUGAAGAAGUAUUUCUGUAUGUAAAGCCCUAUCAGCAGGGACGAUAAUGACGGUACCUGAGUAAGAAGCCCCGGCUAACUACGUGCCAGCAGCCGCGGUAAUACGUAGGGGGCAAGCGUUAUCCGGAUUUACUGGGUGUAAAGGGGGCGCAGACGGAAUCGUAAGCCAGAUGUGAAAGCCCCGGGCUCAGCCCGGGGAGUGCAUUUGGAACUGCGGAUCUAGAGUACUGGAGGGGCAGGCGGAAUUCCUGGUGUAGCGGUGAAAUGCGUAGAUAUCAGGAAGAACACCGGUGGCGAAGGCGGCCUGCUGGACAGAGACUGACGUUGAGGCCCGAAAGCGUGGGGAGCAAACA